AUACCAUACUUUAUGAUGAUAUUCUUUACGAACUUUUAGACGUUAGACUUCUGAAGGAGAUUAGACCCUCCUAUGGAAGAGAAACUCGUUAAACUUAUCUGAGUAGGUAU
RNAcentral lists this small nucleolar RNA (110 nucleotides) under Saccharomyces cerevisiae (brewer's yeast). Its description in RNAcentral is "Z12 small nucleolar RNA". The stretch from base 9 to 104 matches the Rfam family "Small nucleolar RNA snR58". The record is from RNAcentral. Lineage: Eukaryota; Fungi; Ascomycota; Saccharomycetes; Saccharomycetales; Saccharomycetaceae.